Molecule: ribosomal RNA, 846 nt
Filed under: Spegazzinia deightonii
Lineage: Eukaryota; Fungi; Ascomycota; Dothideomycetes; Pleosporales; Didymosphaeriaceae
Description: partial large subunit ribosomal RNA
Rfam family: Eukaryotic large subunit ribosomal RNA
Source: RNAcentral
CCAACAGGGAUUGCCCUAGUAACGGCGAGUGAAGCGGCAACAGCUCAAAUUUGAAAUCUGGCCUCCUCCGGGGGUCCGAGUUGUAAUUUGCAGAGGGUGCUUUGGCUUUGGCGGCGGUCUAAGUUCCUUGGAACAGGACAUCGCAGAGGGUGAGAAUCCCGUACGUGGGCGCCUGCCACUGCCGUGUAAAGCCCCUUCGACGAGUCGAGUUGUUUGGGAAUGCAGCUCUAAAUGGGAGGUAAAUUUCUUCUAAAGCUAAAUACCGGCCAGAGACCGAUAGCGCACAAGUAGAGUGAUCGAAAGAUGAAAAGUACUUUGGAAAGAGAGUAAAAUAGCACGUGAAAUUGUUGUAGAGGAAGCGCUUGCAGCCAGACUUCCCCGUAGUCGCUCACCCGGGCUCCUGCCCGGGGCACUCUUCUGCGGGGAGGCCAGCAUCAGUUUGGGCGGUCGGAUAAAGGCCUCUGUCACGUAUCUCCCUCCGGGGAGACCUUAUAGGGGAGGCGCAAUGCGACCAGCCCGGACUGAGGUCCGCGCAUCUGCCAGGAUGCUGGCGUAAUGGCUGUAAGCGGCCCGUCUUGAAACACGGACCAAGGAGUCUAACAUCUAUGCGAGUGUUUGGGUGUCAAGCCCGGGCGCGCAAUGAAAGUGAACGGAGGUGGGAACCCUCGGGUGCACCAUCGACCGAUCCUGAUGUCUUCGGAUGGAUUUGAGUAAGAGCAUAGCUGUUGGGACCCGAAAGAUGGUGAACUAUGCUUGAAUAGGGUGAAGCCAGAGGAAACUCUGGUGGAGGCUCGCAGCGGUUCUGACGUGCAAAUCGAUCGUCAAAUUUGGGCAUAGGGGCGAAAG